Molecule: long non-coding RNA, 209 nt
Filed under: Elaeis guineensis (African oil palm)
Lineage: Eukaryota; Viridiplantae; Streptophyta; Magnoliopsida; Arecales; Arecaceae
Description: long non-coding RNA (EGUI_LNC021686)
Source: RNAcentral
UGCUGAUAGAUGUGGUAACAGGUUCUUGCUGAUGUCGAGGAGCCGGACAGCACAUCCAGCCUCUAUAGGAUGUUCGCUCAAAGUCCUGAUCAGAUUGUCCUUUCCUGAAAGUUCUAGCUCGCACGAAAGACACUGGAUGGCUAAAUGUGCUCCUUCCUUUGGAUCACCUAGAUUCUUUCAGAUCAGAGGAUGAAACAAUAGGAGGAGAU